RNAcentral lists this small RNA (106 nucleotides) under Parachlamydia acanthamoebae. Its description in RNAcentral is "S15". Lineage: Bacteria; Pseudomonadati; Chlamydiota; Chlamydiia; Parachlamydiales; Parachlamydiaceae. The record is from RNAcentral.
UGCUUUGCCCGAAGUGAUUGGUCUCUCAUUAUCUCCUUUUGUAGCUGGAGUUACCGCUCUAGGCAUUAACUCAACAGCCUAUAUUUCAGAAAUUGUGCGUGGCGGA